CUGGUUGGUGGGGUAACGGCCUACCAAGGCGACGAUCGAUAGCUGGUCUCAGAGGAUGAUCAGCCAGACUGGGACUGAGACACGGCCCAGACUCCUACGGGAGGCAGCAGUUAGGAAUUUUGGGCAAUGGGCGCAAGCCUGACCCAGCAACGCCGCGUGGGUGACGAAGGUCUUCGGAUUGUAAAGCCCUUUUCUGAGGGAAGAUGAUGACGGUACCUCAGGAAGAAGCACCGGCUAACUACGUGCCAGCAGCCGCGGUAAUACGUAGGGUGCGAGCGUUGCCCGGAUUUAUUGGGCGUAAAGGGCGCGUAGGCGGUCACGCACGUCCGUUGUGAAAUCGCUCGGCUCAACUGGGCGGGGUCAGCGGAUACGGCGUGGCUGGAGCAAGCUAGGGGGCAAUGGAAUUCCCGGUGUAGUGGUGGAAUGCGUAGAUAUCGGGAGGAACACCAGUGGCGAAGGCGGUUGCCUGGAGCUUUGCUGACGCUGAUGCGCGAAAGCGUGGGGAGCGAUCCGGAUUAGAUACCCGGGUAGUCCACGCCGUAAACGAUGCGGACUAGGUGUCGGGGGUAUCGACCCCCUCGGCGCCGCAGCUAACGCAUUAAGUCCGCCGCCUGGGGACUACGGCCGCAAGGCUAAAACUCAAAGGAAUUGACG
Molecule: ribosomal RNA, 654 nt
Filed under: uncultured bacterium
Lineage: Bacteria
Description: SSU rRNA
Rfam family: Bacterial small subunit ribosomal RNA
Source: RNAcentral